Molecule: ribosomal RNA, 920 nt
Filed under: uncultured bacterium
Lineage: Bacteria
Description: bacterial SSU rRNA
Rfam family: Bacterial small subunit ribosomal RNA
Source: RNAcentral
AGAGUUUGAUCAUGGCUCAGAUUGAACGCUGGCGGCAUGCCUUUACACAUGCAAGUCGAACGGCAGCAUGAUCUAGCUUGCUAGAUUGAUGGCGAGUGGCGAACGGGUGAGUAAUACAUCGGAACGUGCCCUGUAGUGGGGGAUAACUAGUCGAAAGAUUAGCUAAUACCGCAUACGACCUGAGGGUGAAAGUGGGGGACCGCAAGGCCUCAUGCUAUAGGAGCGGCCGAUGUCUGAUUAGCUAGUUGGUGAGGUAAAGGCUCACCAAGGCGACGAUCAGUAGCUGGUCUGAGAGGACGAUCAGCCACACUGGGACUGAGACACGGCCCAGACUCCUACGGGAGGCAGCAGUGGGGAAUUUUGGACAAUGGGCGAAAGCCUGAUCCAGCAAUGCCGCGUGUGUGAAGAAGGCCUUCGGGUUGUAAAGCACUUUUGUCCGGAAAGAAAUGGCUCUUGUUAAUACCUGGGGUCGAUGACGGUACCGGAAGAAUAAGGACCGGCUAACUACGUGCCAGCAGCCGCGGUAAUACGUAGGGUCCAAGCGUUAAUCGGAAUUACUGGGCGUAAAGCGUGCGCAGGCGGUUGUGCAAGACCGAUGUGAAAUCCCCGAGCUUAACUUGGGAAUUGCAUUGGUGACUGCACGGCUAGAGUGUGUCAGAGGGGGGUAGAAUUCCACGUGUAGCAGUGAAAUGCGUAGAGAUGUGGAGGAAUACCGAUGGCGAAGGCAGCCCCCUGCGAUAACACUGACGCUCAUGCACGAAAGCGUGGGGAGCAAACAGGAUUAGAUACCCUGCUAGUCCACGCCCUAAACGAUGUCAACUAGUUGUUGGGGAUUCAUUUCCUUAGUAACGUAGCUAACGCGUGAAGUUGACCGCCUGGGGUAGUACGGUCGCAAGAUUAAAACUCAAAGGAAUUGACGG